AGUUAAUAAGCUUUAAAAGCAAAUAUUUUGAAAAUAUUUAUUAGAUAUAAAAUUAUCUAUUAACUU
Molecule: transfer RNA, 66 nt
Filed under: Lasioglossum lativentre
Lineage: Eukaryota; Metazoa; Arthropoda; Insecta; Hymenoptera; Halictidae
Also listed under: 1 other name
Description: tRNA-Ser
Source: RNAcentral